GAUGAACGCUGGCGGCGUGCCUAAUACAUGCGAGUCGAGCGAACAGACGAGGAGCUUGCUCCUCUGACGUUAGCGGCGGACGGGUGAGUAACACGUGGAUAACCUACCUAUAAGACUGGGAUAACUUCGGGAAACCGGAGCUAAUACCGGAUAAUAUAUUGAACCGCAUGGUUCAAUAGUGAAAGACGGUUUUGCUGUCACUUAUAGAUGGAUCCGCGCCGCAUUAGCUAGUUGGCAAGGUAACGGCUUACCAAGGCGACGAUGCGUAGCCGACCUGAGAGGGUGAUCGGCCACACUGGAACUGAGACACGGUCCAGACUCCUACGGGAGGCAGCAGUAGGGAAUCUUCCGCAAUGGGCGAAAGCCUGACGGAGCAACGCCGCGUGAGUGAUGAAGGUCUUCGGAUCGUAAAACUCUGUUAUUAGGGAAGAACAAAUGUGUAAGUAACUAUGCACGUCUUGACGGUACCUAAUCAGAAAGCCACGGCUAACUACGUG
RNAcentral lists this ribosomal RNA (497 nucleotides) under uncultured bacterium. RNAcentral describes it as "partial 16S ribosomal RNA". It matches the Rfam family "Bacterial small subunit ribosomal RNA", at positions 28 to 507 of the family's 1533-position model. The record is from RNAcentral.